AUGAAAAGGAGUGUUAUCUUAAGCCAAUGAAAUUCUAAUCCUGUAUUAUAUGAAAAAAUGAAGAAAGCUAUCCACUUCUCGGAUAGAAACUAUUUUUUCGGACGGGAUUCGUAUGUUCAUUUCGCAUGAUAACUCUUGCUAUAGGCCUUUUUGGCGUAGCCCCGCGGAUUCCU
Regulatory RNA element from Listeria monocytogenes EGD-e, 173 nucleotides. It matches the Rfam family "Listeria sRNA rli53". NCBI's taxonomy places the organism in Bacteria, Bacillati, Bacillota, Bacilli, Caryophanales, Listeriaceae. The record is from Rfam.